RNAcentral lists this long non-coding RNA (662 nucleotides) under Rattus norvegicus (Norway rat). RNAcentral describes it as "long non-coding RNA NONRATT018836". The record is from RNAcentral. Lineage: Eukaryota; Metazoa; Chordata; Mammalia; Rodentia; Muridae.
UGGAAAGGAAGAAUGGGGGAUGGGGACAGCUGAUUUUUCCUCCCUCCUGCCAAACCACCUUUAAUUCCUUCUAGGGUACUGAUGUAUUGGGGACAGCUUCUCUGCCCUGCCUGACAUGGUCCAAUCAUCCUGUCAGCCAUCUGAACUGCACCACCGAAGCCAGGACCCAAAAAAAGUUCCAUUUUAUGCGCCCAUGACGAGUGUUAGAUCGAGCUUGCUUGUUUAACUCAAGAUUCAUUAAUGGCAUGAGUUCCUGUUUAAAGAUGGGGUUUCUGGAACCUUGGUCAGUUUCCAGGAACCAGAUCAAUUCUCAAUCUGAAAAUGGUCAUCUUAAAGUUGUGGCCAAAACAGUUUAACUUCUUACCUGUUAUUUCCAAGGGGGAAUGAGAGUUAGGCCGCCCUCUUUUCUUGUUCCCUUGGAAACACACGCAUUCUGUUCAAGCUUGUCACUGUGUGAUCUACCAAGAGCCCUGUAUUGCCUUCCUCUCUGUCUUCUGGCUCUGGCUCUGCCUGGGAAUGUUCAGGAAUCUGUGUCCUGCUGUGCUAUGAGCCCUGUGGAGGGAAGGGGACAGGAUCAUUUCCAGAGAAGAUUGUGGUAACAAUGUUUCUCUGGCAUAUGGAAGAAGUCAGUGGUCACCUGAAAAAAGAGACUUUGGUAAACU